This is a non-coding RNA of Equus caballus (horse), 726 nucleotides long. The record is from RefSeq and is a predicted model, not a curated record. NCBI's taxonomy places the organism in Eukaryota, Metazoa, Chordata, Mammalia, Perissodactyla, Equidae.
UGUUGCAGGAGAGUGGGGUUGAGCAAGUGAGGAUUUUCCAGAAUCCAGAAGGGCAUGAAGACUUAAGGUCUGAGACAGAGCGGGCUUUGGAAAGUCCCUCCACAGACCACUUUCCAGGAGGUGAGGGUCCCAGCACACACGGUUAACACGAAAUGAGGAAUUCCUUUGUGGUCAGCAGCCAAAUAUUUGCAGAGGACCGAACCUCUCUUUUGGGUGGACUCUUGAACAGACUAAAAUCUUCCCACGGCCAGAGAAAGGUGGUGAAACAAAGGUUACCGUAAUCUAGUACCCUAAGGGCCUACAAAAAUUAGUAUUCAAGCCAAAAGAAACCAAAUUUCAUUUUGCCUCUUUUAUUUACAACUUUAAAUAUCUCUAACGGUUAGAAAACUGAUGUGAAAUACGAACACUGGUAUACAGCUUAAAAUACAAAUGUCCGUAAUUAUUAAAGAACACGGUUAAUAAUUUUUCCAAGUAAAUGCUUGAUAAGAAAUCUUUUCCAGGAGGCAAGUUAGACAUCAGGUGCCUGAAGCAUAAGGACCAGAGCUUCAGGGUGCCCAGGAGAUGGCUGCACAGCUCAACCAUGUUUUCCACUCGGUGAUCCACACAGCAGCUUGCUUGACGAGUGGCACCACCAGCCUUUCUAGCCCGCUCCAGCGCUAAACCAGGGCUGCUUCUGCCACGGGAAAGAGCCACGUCCAGAGACAAAUGAACCACUUGAAGAUGAAA